RNAcentral lists this ribosomal RNA (492 nucleotides) under uncultured bacterium. Its description in RNAcentral is "partial 16S ribosomal RNA". It matches the Rfam family "Bacterial small subunit ribosomal RNA", at positions 29 to 507 of the family's 1533-position model. The record is from RNAcentral.
AGUGAACGCUGGCGGUAGGCCUAACACAUGCAAGUCGAACGGCAGCACAGUAAGAGCUUGCUCUUACGGGUGGCGAGUGGCGGACGGGUGAGGAAUACAUCGGAAUCUACUUUUUCGUGGGGGAUAACGUAGGGAAACUUACGCUAAUACCGCAUACGACCUACGGGUGAAAGCAGGGGAUCUUCGGACCUUGCGCGAUUGAAUGAGCCGAUGUCGGAUUAGCUAGUUGGCGGGGUAAAGGCCAACCAAGGCGACGAUCCGUAGCUGGUCUGAGAGGAUGAUCAGCCACACUGGAACUGAGACACGGACCAGACUCCUACGGGAGGCAGCAGUGGGGAAUAUUGGACAAUGGGCGCAAGCCUGAUCCAGCCAUACCGCGUGUGUGAAGAAGGCCUUCGGGUUGUAAAGCCCUUUUGUUGGGAAAGAAAAGCAGUAGGUUAAUACCCAGCUGUUCUGACGGUACCCAAUGAAUAAGCACCGGCUAACUUCGUG